This 253-nucleotide ribosomal RNA is filed under the name uncultured bacterium. RNAcentral describes it as "partial 16S ribosomal RNA". It matches the Rfam family "Bacterial small subunit ribosomal RNA", at positions 524 to 776 of the family's 1533-position model. The record is from RNAcentral.
UACGUAGGUGGCAAGCGUUGUCCGGAAUUAUUGGGCGUAAAGCGCGCGCAGGUGGUUUCUUAAGUCUGAUGUGAAAGCCCACGGCUCAACCGUGGAGGGUCAUUGGAAACUGGGGAACUUGAGUGCAGAAGAGGAAAGUGGAAUUCCACGUGUAGCGGUGAAAUGCGUAGAGAUGUGGAGGAACACCAGUGGCGAAGGCGACUUUCUGGUCUGUAACCGACACUGAGGCGCGAAAGCGUGGGGAGCGAACAGG